AGAAAAUAGAGCUGCAGACAUAGAUAAGGAAGCUGGAAGCUUGCAUGGGUGAAUGUUGGCAGCUGUGCCAAUAGAAAAGGCAUGUUCAAUGUGGAGGCUCCAUCUUCCCUUUUCUUUGUCACCACAUUUAGAGUAAAAAGAAGGCAACAUGGCACUAGCAAGGUAGAGAACCCAUCUGCAUAAUAAAAUAUUAGGGUGGGGCAGCCAACUUCUUCACGUGCUAUGCAAAUGGCACACCAGGUCCGACUAAUCUUUCGUGCCCUAUGUAAAUCAGACACCACCUUUUCAAGCUAGUCUAUAAAACCCCAUGCAUUUCACCACAGAACUGGCUACCCAUUUUUUCCAAGACCCUCUGCUCAGAGAGCUUUUCUCUUUCUUUCACCUAUUAAACUUGCACUCCUAACCUCACUCUUGUGUGUCUGUGUCCUAGUUUUCCAUGGCUGUGGGGCAAUGAACCUCAUGUAUUACCUCAGACAAUGAGGACUUCAUUGCUUCAGCAGGACUGCCACCAACACUCCAGAACUGUAGAACUACCAACAUGCAAUGAGAGCCUGGAAAAGACAAGGUGCCUGACUCUAAUCCAUGAGAACAGCCACAUGUGGGCUGCAACCACCAAACCCAUGGGGGCAGGACUGCCAGAGGCCUUGAGGGACCGACUCCUGCCCCCAGUGUGCUCAGGAUGAAGGACAUGGACUCAAAAGAUAUUAUUUCCAGCUUUAAAAUUGAAUGUCUUUCCUGUUGGGUUUCGGACUUCCUUGAGGCCUGUAACUCCUUUCUUCUGGCCUAUUUCUCCUGUCUCAGCACUAUAUCUUGGAGACUUAUUGGCUUAGUCUGCCAGAGACAAGUGAUGCUGCUUCACUCCUUCUCAUUGGCUGGAGAGGAAAGUAUUUAGUGGUUUAACGUAAGCACAACUUCUGUGUAUCUUUUUUUUUUUUAAAACCAGCACCCCAUAUUUGGUUACGCUCUGGUCUAGUAACCGCUUCCUUUGGGCAAGACAACCUUCUCCACCUGCAAGAGCCAAGCAUGUGAUUUAAAAAAUUUCCUUUGUGGUCACUUAGUUAUUAUUCUUCUUGCUUUGAGUGUUUGGCCUGCUAGUUUCAUGUAUUCACUUUCAACUAAAGCUGUUCUUUACAACUUGUUAUAGUGAGUUUUGAUUCACAGAAUAUUUUAGGCUCAUCUACAAUAUAAUAAUUUCCCACAAAUGUAAAGAAUAUAGAUUUGUACAGUUCUAAAUAUCAGUAAAAGAGCAUGGAGCAGAGUGCUCAUAUUUAACUUUAAAAAAGGUAGUAUUUCCAUAGGUGCUUUCAGGGUAAUAAAAAUUGAUUUGAUUGAUAUUGACUUAUGGGA
Molecule: long non-coding RNA, 1347 nt
Filed under: Piliocolobus tephrosceles (Ugandan red Colobus)
Lineage: Eukaryota; Metazoa; Chordata; Mammalia; Primates; Cercopithecidae
Description: lncRNA (ENSPTEG00000025400.1)
Source: RNAcentral